This 405-nucleotide ribosomal RNA is filed under the name uncultured bacterium. RNAcentral's name for it is "bacterial SSU rRNA". It matches the Rfam family "Bacterial small subunit ribosomal RNA", at positions 930 to 1349 of the family's 1533-position model. The record is from RNAcentral.
UAGCGGAGCGUGUGGUUUAAUUCGACUAACACGAAGAACCUUACCAGGACUUGACAUGUACAGGCAAUCCGUGGAAACACGGCCCUCCCUAUGGGACCUGUACACAGGUGCUGCAUGGCUGUCGUCCAGCUCGUGCCGUGAGGUGUUGGGUUAAGUCCCGCAACGAGCGCAACCCUCGUCGCCAGUUAUACGUGUCUGGCGAGACCGCCGGGAGAAACCCGGAGGAAGGUGGGGAUGAUGUCAAGUCAGCAUGGCCCUUACGCCCUGGGCUACACACACGCUACAAUGGCCGGUACAGAGGGUUGCCAAACCGCGAGGUGGAGCCAAUCCCCAAAAACCGGUCCCAGUUCGGAUUGCAGGCUGCAACCCGCCUGCAUGAAGUCGGAGUUGCUAGUAACCGCAUAA